AUUGAACGCUGGCGGCAGGCUUAACACAUGCAAGUCGAGCGGGGGAAGGUAGCUUGCUACCGGACCUAGCGGCGGACGGGUGAGUAAUGCUUAGGAAUCUGCCUAUUAGUGGGGGACAACAUCUCGAAAGGGAUGCUAAUACCGCAUACGUCCUACGGGAGAAAGCAGGGGAUCUUCGGACCUUGUGCUAAUAGAUGAGCCUAAGUCGGAUUAGCUAGUUGGUGGGGUAAAGGCCUACCAAGGCGACGAUCUGUAGCGGGUCUGAGAGGAUGAUCCGCCACACUGGGACAGAGGCACGGCCCAGAAUCCUGCGGGGGGCAGCAGUGGGGAAUAUUGGACAAUGGGGGGAACCCUGAUCCAGCCAUGCCGCGUGUGUGAAGAAGGCCUUAUGGUUGUAAAGCACUUUAAGCGAGGAGGAGGCUACUCUAGUUAAUACCUAGGGAUAGUGGACGUUACUCGCAGAAUAAGCACCGGCUAACUCUGUGCCAGCCGCCGCCGUAA
This 501-nucleotide ribosomal RNA is filed under the name uncultured bacterium. Its description in RNAcentral is "partial 16S ribosomal RNA". It matches the Rfam family "Bacterial small subunit ribosomal RNA", at positions 30 to 523 of the family's 1533-position model. The record is from RNAcentral.